Molecule: ribosomal RNA, 119 nt
Filed under: Gossypium raimondii (Peruvian cotton)
Lineage: Eukaryota; Viridiplantae; Streptophyta; Magnoliopsida; Malvales; Malvaceae
Source: RNAcentral
GGGUGCGAUCAUAAUUGCACUAAUGCAUUGGAUCCCAUCAGAACUCCGCAGUUCAGCGUGCUUCAGCGAGAGUAGUACUAGGUUGGGUAACCUCCUGGGAAAUCCUCGUGUAGCACCCC